Molecule: long non-coding RNA, 11730 nt
Filed under: Daucus carota (carrot)
Lineage: Eukaryota; Viridiplantae; Streptophyta; Magnoliopsida; Apiales; Apiaceae
Description: long non-coding RNA (DCAR_LNC002147)
Source: RNAcentral
CAAUCCCUGAUGCUAAACUAGAUGCUGCAAUAAAAACAGGACUUUUCGACUACGUUUGGAUACAGUUUUACAACAACCCUCAGUGUCAUUACACAGGCACGGCGACUAAUCUUUUGGCCAGGUGGAGGCAAUGGGCUGCUGCACUUCCUUCCCGCAGUCAGAUCUUUCUUGGAUUACCGGCAGCUUCUGCAGCAGCGCCUAGCGGUGGUUACAUUUCCCCUAGUGCAUUAAUCUCUCAGGUUCUUCCAACUAUCAAGAGGACUCCAAAGUAUGGGGGAAUCAUGCUGUGGAAUAAGCUGUAUGAUAAAACUUUCAGUUCUGCUAUCAAGAACAGCAUCUAAUGUAUUCAACCGACUAGGGAAAGGCAAGUACUACUACANGGAAAGACAAGUACUACUACAAAUCAAUAAAUCUGAAUGUAAUCCUGCCUUGAGUUUCGAAUAAGAUAUUUCUUAGUCAGAUGACCAUCAAAGUUAGGAUUGUUGAUCCAGAACUCGUUUGAUAGACACAAAAAUUUCUAUUUGACUUCAAAGAAUACAAAAUCCGAAAAUAACAGCAACUUCUGACCAUAAACCUGAAUAGCUCAGAAUGGUUCUUUCACUAAAAUUUUAUCCAAGUUUAUAUAUGUUGGUCAGCAAAUUUUAUUUAGUGCUAAAAGUACACAAUCUUGACGUCGUUACAAACACAAUUAAGACAAACGCAGCAUCUUAACCCCUAAUUAAAGUAGACACUGAAUUGGUUGUAGAUAUUUAUAAAAUGCUUGCAAGUCUCAAACUCAGAAGAAAAAAAACUAAGAACUGGCUGGUUUGAUCUUUUGUCUUAGAACGAGUCAUUGCCUUGAUGAAGUCGCGAUGCAACUACAAAGAGGAUUGACACAUGCAGCCAAAAAAUAAUAAGAAGAAAGCUAUCUGAAGCUGUUACAAACACUAUCACCGGAUAUGGCAGCAGCCGGUCCAGAACUAUCGAUUAUUAUCAACAUGCUACUUGCGCUUUUUUCUGCUUUUAGGCAAAAUCCUAAAAUGAAUCAAUUUUCUACUCAUAGACCCUUUAGCGCCCACAUCCAAGUUAGACUCAAUCUCUCCCAGCGGAAAUAAACAACUAGUAGGAUGUUGUAUCAAUCACUUGUCAGGGAUCCGGACCUCACUAAAGAUUAAGCAAUAAAGACCGUAUUCCCAUGUACUUGAAUUCUUGAAUGCCUGAUGGAAGUAAGCAAGAUACAAGGAGAGAAGAGCAUGCUCAGAAGUUGAGGGAGGCUUGGAAGAGGAGGAUUAAUACCACUCGUUAAACAUAUUUUUUUUUUUCGAAUGUCAUUUGUGUAACCUAUUUCGGACCUAUAUACAGUAAUACUAAGUUCGGUAAAACAAAUAUAAAAUAUUCAUGUUAUGCUAAUAGUACGAGGGUUAGAUAUGAAUGUGAGAUGAUGAGUAAGGUUGCGUUCACUUGGAUGAAAUGAAAAAAAAUAUACAGAAGUUUUAUGGAGGAAGACAAUAAUGAUCGACUAAAUAUGAGUGAGCCUAAUUUUUCAUUACAUUGAUUGUAGAGAAACAUGACGUAGAAGUGGAAUGAGCAGUGUUCCUUUCAAAACAUUUGAGUUGGAUUUCUAGUUCAAAUAGUUGGAAUGGAAUGACUGAAUCAAUGAAAAUCAUGGAUAUUUUCUCUAAUCAUUGGAGUACAAAAUUCAUUUGAUUCUAUUCAAGUGAACGCAACUUAAGUAUGUCAUUGAUUUUAAUACUUAUUAAGAAUGAAUGAAGUUUAAAUCCUAGAACCAAAACAAGAUCCAGAAGUCUUAUUUUCGAAAUGGAAGACUGACUCGAAGUCUUGCCCUGAGGUCUACCAUCCCAAAUUUCUAACACUUAGCUAUACAAGUCGGUCACAAAAUACCAACUACUUGUCCAUGACAAACAGCUUUCGUGGAAGAUGCCCCCUUUGUUUUCAACACUCUCAUUUUCACAAAAUUCAACUCUUUUAAAGCUCUGUGCAAGUACUAUGAGUCCAAAACACCUCAUUCUCAGGCCUAUAAAAUGUCCAUUCAUUAGCAACUAUUACAUCAAACAAGUUCCACUUCCCCUCUAAACAUGGCAAGCAUUUCCCCGCUACUCUUCCUGCUCUUCCUUUCGUGCACUUUCACACUUUUCCAUUCCUCCCGAGGUGCUGGAAUCGCCAUCUACUGGGGACAGAGUGGCAAUGAAGGCACAUUGGCUUCCACCUGCGCCUCAGGAAACUACCAAUAUGUACUCAUUGCUUUCUUAACCACAUUUGGCAGUGGCCGAACCCCGGUCCUAAAUUUAGCUAGCCAUUGCACUCCCAGCUCUAAUGGCUGCACCGUUUUGAGCAACGUUAUCUCCACUUGCCAAAGCAAUGGUAUCAAGGUCCUGCUCUCUCUUGGCGGUGGUUCCAACUCAGCUACAAGCAUGUCCUCUCCGGCUGAUGCAAGGCAAGUAGCUACCUACCUCUACAACAACUUUUUAGGUGGACAAUCAGCUUCUAGACCUUUCGGGAGUGCCAUUUUAGAUGGCGUAGACUUUGACAUCGAACAAGGUUCAAGUCUUUACUAUGAUGAUCUUGCCCGAGCUCUUUCCGGGUUCAGCACACCACAGAGGAAAGUUUACUUAUCAGCAGCACCGCAAUGUCCAAUCCCUGAUGCUAAACUAGAUGCUGCAAUAAAAACAGGACUUUUCGACUACGUUUGGAUUCAGUUUUACAACAACCCACAGUGUCAUUACACAGGCACGGCUACUAAUCUUUUGGCAAGAUGGAAGCAAUGGGCUGCUGCACUUCCAUCCGGCAGUCAGAUCUUUCUUGGAUUACCGGCAGCUUCUGCAGCAGCGCCUAGCGGUGGUUAUAUUUCUCCAAGUGCAUUAAUCUCUCAGGUUCUUCCAACUAUAAAGACUACUCCAAGUUAUGGGGGGAUCAUGCUGUGGAAUAAGCUGUUUGAUAAAACUUUUAGUUCCGCAAUCAAGAACAGCAUUUAAUAUGUUUAAUCAACUAGCAACCUGGGAAAAUAAGCAGUAAUACUCUAUAUGAAAAUCGUCUUGUCAUCAAUAAAUCUGAAUGCACUUCAGGCUUGAGCUUUAAUCAAAUAUUUCUCUCAUCAAAUGGCCACUACGGUUAGGGUUGUCGAUCCAGCAUCUGAAUCAAUUUAAUAUAGAAAAAUUUAUAUUCUGAUUCAACUUCAGAGAUGCAAAAUCGGACAAUAACAGUUAUUUCUGACCAUUAACCUUACUGAAUGAGCUGCGGAUAUAUGUAAAAUGUGUGCAAGUAUUUAAUGCUAGAAAAAAAAAUGAAGAACAGGUUGGUCUAAUCUCAUGUUGUAGAAUGAGUCAGUCGCUAUGCAACUACAUUUGACAAUGAUUAACACAUGUUUUUUUUCUUUUUGAUAAUAAGGUGUGUGACGCGCAACUUAUCCUAGAGGGGCCUAGCAUAACAACCCAACUUACGCGUACCUCGACUUAACCCAAAAGGGCCUAGCACAACAACCCGGCUUAUGCGCACCUCAACUUAUCAUGGAGGGGCCUAGCACAACCAACCUCGAUCACAUUUUUUGCUACAGAUAAAUCAACAAAAAUUAUAUUGCUAUGUUACAAGCACAUUUUGUAGCAUACCAUUUAACAAUAGGCCUCAAGCAACUGAAGGCUACAAAUUAUAGUGAAAAAUAACUUUUAGUUUAUGGAUUGGAUAAAUUUAUUGAUAAUUCAUGAUCUAAUAUGUAUAAAAAUUAAUAAUAAUCAAAAUAAGUGAGGAAAAUAAGUUAGGAUUUUCAACUUCUCAGAUUCUAACUUAUAAAUUUACAUAAACAGUACUAAUAAGUCACAGGUCGGGUGAAAAAGUUACCCAAACAGGCCUAAGAAAUUCUCCAAGCCUAUAAACGCCUCUCAAUUUCGAAAUGCGGUGGAGGGCCUAAAUUCCAAAUGAAAGGCCGACUUUAAAGUCUUGUCCUCAGGUCUACUAUCCCGAAUUUGUAACUAUUAGCGAGACAAGCAAGUCACGGAAAGCCAAAUACAAGCUUGUCCUUGACGAACAGCUUUCGUGGAACACGCAUCCUUUGUUUUCCAUACUCUCAUUUACACAAAAUUCAACUCUUAUGUUCUAUCCAAGAACUUACAUUCAACUCCCUGCACUCUCAAUCCUAUAUAAUGACCAUUUAUCAGCAACUAUUACGUCAAGCAAUCCAAGCUCGCCCUCAAACAUGGCAAGCAUUUCUCAGGUCCUCUUUCUGCUCUUCCUCACAUUUGCUUUUCUCUUUUUCCAUUCUGCCCAAGGAGCUGGAAUUGCCGUCUACUGGGGACAGAACGGCAAUGAAGGCUCCUUGGAGUCCACUUGCGCAUCAGGCAACUAUAAGUAUGUACUCAUUGCUUUCUUAAUCACCUCUGGGAGUGGUCGAACACCGGCCCUAAACUUAGCUGGCCAUUGUGAUCCUGCCUCUAACGGCUGCACCUUCUUGAGCUCCCAGAUUUCUACUUGCCAGAGCAAUGGCAUCAAAGUCCUCCUCUCUCUUGGUGGCGGGCAAGGGUCGGAAACAAGCAUGUCUUCUCCGGCUGAUGCUAAGCAAGUAGCUAACUAUCUCUACAACAACUUCUUAGAUGGACAAUCAGCUUCUCGACCUUUCGGGUCUGCCAUUUUAGAUGGCGUAGACUUUGACAUCGAACACGGUUCCAGUCUUUACUAUGAUGAUCUAGCACGGGACCUCUCGGGUUUCAGCACACCACAGAGAAAAGUCUACUUGUCAGCAGCACCACAAUGUCCUAUCCCUGACGCUAAACUAGACGCUGCAAUUCAAACUGGCCUUCUCGACUACGUCUGGAUACAAUUUUACAACAACCCACAGUGUCAUUACACAGGCACAGCUACUAAUCUUUUGGCAAGGUGGAGAGAGUGGGCUGCCGCGACUCCACCACGCAGUCAGAUCUUUCUUGGAUUACCAGCGGAUACCGCAGCAGCACCUAGUGGUGGCUAUAUAUCACCGAGUGCAUUAAUCUCUGAAGUUCUUCCAAGUAUCAAGACUACAACAAGCUAUGGCGGUGUCAUGCUUUGGAAUAAGUUUUAUGAUACGAGUUUUAGUUCAGCUAUCAAGAACAGUAUAUAAUAUGUAACUGGAAACAAAUAUGAUGUGAUACCAGAUAUCAGAACCCGCUUCUUAUCGAUAAAUCUACAUAAACACCUGCUUCUAAGUUUCGAAUAAAGAGAUUUUCCUCAGAGAAACACCAUCAGAGUCGAUACUAAAUUACUUGUAAAUAUUAGUAAGAAAAAAUACAAGUGUUAAUUGCGCUUAACAUUGGGCGGAAAGAAAUUAAAGAAGAAGAAACACAAUCCCAACGACAGGAAAAAAAAAAUGAACUUUUGAUAUUAUAUCAGUAAUCAAAAAGUUCUUGUUAAUUUACUGACUGGUAACUAAGGAUUACAAACAAAACUAAAAAAUAGAGCUGACAAGAUUCAAGAGAGCUCGCAUGUAUGGCACGCGAAAGGCUUCAUAGUACAAGCAGAAUUACACUCAAUGUGACAAACUAGAAAAGGAUGUAAUCAGCCAACCAUAUUUGAGGGAAGCGCACUUUUUUCACACUGUAAAAAUAUUUGCCCUUUUACACCUUCCUGAUCUGGAUAUUGCGGGCGGACUGUAAUCGUUAGAUGGGCUGUUUACCACUCUGCACAAGAGCCACUUGUUCUCCCUCCUUUACCAUCCCUUGCUCCUGUAAAUGAGUCAGGCAGAUUUAAUACGACUCCCAUUGAUGUUGAUAUUCAAAUUUACUGGCAAAACAGCAUGCACAGUUGGAAACUUGGCUUGCAGCCAUGUUUUGAAUAUUGAAUGAGGAAACAAUCCCUACUGAGUAGCAACAAUACAUUACUACUUAAUUCAUCAGAAGAACACAUUUACAAACUCCUAACAGCAGAGUUUCUGAUUUCUUAGAUUCAAAUACUGUAAUUAAAGAGAUCUGUAUAGUAUUACUACUAUAAUUCACCUUCAAGAGAGUUGAUGCAUCUGCAAAGGUUUUUUUUGCAUCAUCUGAGAACAGCAUGUAUAUUAAGGGUAACUCCUUGAUAUAAAGCUAAACGCUCUUUCUUUUUUUAAUAAACCUGUAUGUCAAACCAAUUUUGAACAUAUGUUAACUACUUCACUAUAGAAUAGGGGAUCCAUAAUGAUUAGAAGGUUCAAACAUGUUCUUGAAUAAAAUUCAGCAAUUAUCUUGUAAACUUUGGGGGAUGGAUAUGUACUCUUAUCCUAUAUGUUUGACUACCAUAAUCAUAUAUUUAUAAACCAAUUUUUUACAUAGGUUAACUACUUCACUAUUUAAUAGUGGAUCCAUAAACAUAUAGGAUUUUGGGGGCUUAUACUAUAGGAUAAUGUGCUAGUGACCCCUGAUAGUGACCAACUUUAAACUCAGAGUGCCAAUUUUACUUUAUUCAUAAUGGAAUUUAAAUACAUAAUUGUUAAAACAAUGGAGGAAGAAGAAUAAGAUACCAGCACAUCAACUCAUAGAAAGUAGAAUAUUCCCCGAUGCCUAGUUGCAAACCCAUAAUGCUUAUUACUGAUCAAAUUGCCCUAGGAAACACGACAAGGCUAUGCUGAAAGAAUAAUACAACAGCGCUUGCAUAGAAGAUAAAUAAAGCAGUAACAAUUUCCUAGGUAACAGGGGCUAUUAAAAGCACCUCCAUUUCUGGAAAGGGGAAAAACUCCAUCUAUACAUAAAGCAGAAAUACAUACUAUUGCAAACCAAAAACAAGACAAUAAUUGGAAUGUGAAUAAAACCCUUGCAAAAGAAUGGGGCAAGCAUUAAUUCAAACUUCAGAUAUUUGAGGUAAUUGUAGAUUGCCUGAAGUGUUUCAAACAUAAUCCUUCUUGCAUAACAUCAACAAUUUAGUCUUGUUACUUAUUUUAUGAAGAAAAAGAAACCAAACAACUUUCAUCUGAAUAAAUCAUUUGUUAUUUUAAAAAAUUGACACUAGAACCUGCGUGAUAUACAGGAAAAAGAAUAUAGCACUGUAGCCAUUUGAAAUUCAAGAAUUCAUAUAAUCAUGUUAUAACUCACUGGCUUUAAGCCUUUAUUGGAAGUUGGAAGAUAACAUUAUCAGGUUGAAAAAGUAGUGUUCAGAAAAAACACAGCUCCUGGUAGGGCUGUAAAUUGAUACGGACUAUCCGGUGUCUCGGCUCAUAUCCGGCUCGAAAAUAUGAUACAUGUCUCAUAUCCGUUUUGAAAACGAUCCAAACCUGGCGGAAAAAUUAAGCCCGUAUAAUAUAUGAUCCCGGAUACGAGCACACCUAUACCCGCUCAGAUUCGGUCUCAUAUAAUUUUUCAUAAUAUGAUCCUACCCGAAUAACCAAAUAUGAUCCACGGUUCAUAUUCGAUUCAAACUCAUAUAUAUAUAUAUAUAUUAUAUUUUAACAUCAUCAUAUUUGCAAGUAAAUAGUCAUCAUUUUAUAAAAUUUUAAUAUCUUAUUUAAGUUUAUACCUUCAUAAAAUAUGAUUUAUUUAAUGUGAUCAUGCUUAUUAUCUUCAUAUAUAUUUAAUAAAUGAUAUAUACCAACAUAUAACUAUAAGUUUUAAUUUAAAAUUAUUAUUCUUUAUAAUAUUAUGUUUACUUAGACUAAAUGAUAAUUAUUUGAACAAUUGAAAUAAUAAUGAUAUUUAGUGUUAGUGGAUCAUAUCCGGCUCAUAUUCGAUGGAUCAUAAACUACCCGGUUAAAAAAUAGAAAAUACGAUACUGGAUCAUAUCCGGUUCAGAUCCGAAUCUCAAAUACCCGGGAUCGGAUUAUAUCCGAAUAAAACGAUCCCGGACCCAAAUCUGGACAAGCUAAAAAUAAUAUGAUCCGGUACUUGAGCAGAGGGGUACCCGGGAUCACCCGGAUCAUUUUACAGCCCUAGUUCCUGGGGCUUAAAAUCAUCCAUAAAUUACAAGAACCCAAUUUAUUUUCUACAAUUUUAGCCAUCACAAUUUUCCUCAAAACAAAAAAGCUCUACUCUAUUCGUACCAAACAUAUUGCAUUUAGAUAUAGAACAUAAAACAUAAGCACCGGAAGAGACCGGAAACAUCUUUUUUACUACCGAACAACAUUAAAAGUCAAGUAAAAUUCUUAAUAUCUAUGUCCGACUCGGAGACUUCGCACGGACAUUCAAUUCAAUUAAAAGACAGAAACAACAAUGAAGUCUUUUAAAAGGACAAAUCUGUUUUUUAAAUUACUAGUAUAAUACUUAUAAGGAUAAGAAAUAGGAGACCAUCAUCAAUUCAUAGACAACAAGGAGACAAGGUUAAUUUCACCUCUCAUCAUACCAUAUGUAAUUAUUUGAGAAAUAUGACACCUAGACAAAGCACCUUUUUAUUCAGGUAAAGUUGACACUAGUCCAUUUGGGUACAUCAGGACAGUAGCUGAUAAUAUGUACACACAGCAUUUGGUAGGCAGGAUAAUAUAAACCAUGUAAUUUCCAAUAUCUACAAUGCACAAACAAACAGAAAACAAAAGCAACAUCAAUUAUCAAUAUACCUAUCAGACAAUCCAAACCUAAAAUCCACGAAAAUCAACAUCACACAUAUGAUUCUGGCUUCAAUCAAUAGUCGACCUCACAAAGUAAUUCCACAUUUAUGUACUAAACUAUAUGGCAUAUCACAAAUAUAAACCUAAAAAAACUAAAUAACACACACAAUAAACAUUCAACAAAAACAAGAAAUAUACCUAACAAUCCUCCUCCUCCUCAUCAUCAAGUAACAACUCUGCAUUGCCUAGCAUCACCAACCAUCGAUCCCCGUCCACUACUCAACGUCAAUCCCACGGGCACAUCCCGACACAAAACCCUAACAUACCGCUUCCUCGUCCCCCACGCUCCAGCCUUAAACCUAGCUCUAGCCAACAACCUAACACUAAACCUAACACUCCCUCUCCCUCUAUCACCACCAAUAUCCCUAACAACCCAAUCAUCAACAUACGCUCCCACAGCACCAAAAGUGGCCUUCACCUUGGUCUCAUUCCUCUUCCCUUGACUAAACGGAGGCAACGUAGUCGAUGCCAGCCCCUCCGACUUAUAAAACACAUCGGCAUCAAUUCGAUCAUAAUUCACCGUGAUCUUCUUGUUCGGAUUCCUCACAGUAAACUCAACUUCCCAGUUGCCGGAAACCAGAGAGCUGGAGAUAUUAAAGUUAGAAACAGUCACCGAGUCGACUCGAAACUCAGGGACUCGAGGCCUAAGUACUAGCCAAAUUAUCAACAAAACGGUGCCGGAAAUGAUGAUACAGGCGAUUAUGAUUGAGAAGAGGCGGCGGAUGAAAGCGCGUUGAGGAUCGGGUUGGUUGUAGUAGGGGUUGUGAGUGUAGUAGGCGGCGUUGGACGGUGGCGGGGCGGCGUAGGGGUAGGCGGUACCGGAGGAAUAGCCGUUAGGGUUAGGGUUAGGGUUAGGGUGGGCGGGGUAGCCGGUAACGGGUCGGGUCGGAUUGGUGGGGUUCAUUUGGGGAGAAUAUAGAGGAGUGUUUUGUGUGUAGAGGUUGUAUGUAUAGGAGUAGAUGUGAAGGAAAGUGUGGGAGAAGUGUGUGGAAGAUGAAGGAGUUUCUAUGAGUUAAAGUGAAACGGGGUUGGAGGGAGAUUGAUUUGUCUUUGGGGUAAAUUAGUCGAUUUAGGUAAAAGGCGGUGCAACGUUUAGCUCAUAUUUUCGUAUAAGAUUUUUAUUAUAAUUUUUUGGUUCAUAUUUUUAUUUUUUUAUGAUUUAUUUUUUGUAUAUCAAAUAAAAUUUGGUUAAUGGAUAUUUGACCUGUCAAGUCAAAGUAAAGUUUAUCGCUACAUUACAUAUGUGUUUUUCAUUCGAGGAUAAAAUGAUUUUCAAGUGAUUGUCUAAAUUUUUUUAAUUUGUGAUUAUAAUAAUGUUUAAGUAAGAGCAUGUUAGUACGGAUUUUAAGUAAUUUUCGAUUUCAAACUGAAAAAUGUAUGUUUUUGUAUUAAGUCAAAAGUCGAUUUAAAAUUAUAAAUAAAUCAAAAAUUGAUUCAAAGUCUGAAGCUAAUUUGAUAUUAUUUUAUCGAUGAUUUUUUUCUUUUCCAUAUUUUUAUACAAAAAUUAAAAUCAAAAAAUGAUGUCUUUAUAGUAUCGUCAAUUUUACGCCAAAAAUAUUCUUGGUUGUUUAAGGCCAGUUUCUACUAAAAUCUAAUAUGCUCUUGGUUCUUUGAGGCCAGCUUCUACUAAAACCUUGAUAACGAAUUCAAACUCUACGACUCUGGGAAAAAUUUCGUCAUGACGACAUAAUAAUACCUAUGCACAAGUAAGUUUGAGGAUUUGAACAUGGGUGAUGUAUUCAAACUUGCAAGUUCUUAUUCAAAUAUAAAUUUCCACCAUUUCUCAACAGGUUAGCCGCAUUGUCUUUCACACGAAAAAGACAUAUAUAUAUACUUUUAUCGCAUAAUAUUUGUCAAUAAAUUAUCACUCAGAUGCAUCAUUGAUAUUAUUGGAGUUCUUGAAAAUUACGGCCAUCUUCAACAAAUCAAAAUAAUGUAUGGACAAAGAAGUAUCGUGAAAUUCAGGAUCACAAAUGAAUGACAAAUAUAUUUUGAUAUAAUACAAACAUCCUUUUUGACUACUUAAACUACAUUUGAGUUUGAAUUAUCUCACGUGGCUGUAGUUAUGCAGGUAUCAUGAUUGCUAAAUACAGUAAUAUUUUAUAGUAAUCACAUAUUACCAUAAUAUCUUUCAUUUAUUUUUUUUGUUAAAUACAGUAAUAUUUUAUAGUAAUCACAUAUUACCAUAAUAUCUUUCAUUUAUUUUUUUUGUUUUCUGUGUACGCAUCAGUGCAGUCAUUAAUUUUUCAUGAUGGCUAAAUGCAGUAAUAUUUUACUCCGUGCAGUAACUAGAAAUUACCAUAAUAUCCUUCAUUUAUUCUUUUGUUUCAUGCGGGUUGAUCUCGCAAAUAAAGCACAAAAUGAAGGCUCUUUGGCGUCCACUUGCGCAUCAUUGCUUUCUUAAUAACCUCUGAGAGUGGCCGAACUCCGGCCCUAAAGAUAGCUGGCAAUUGUGAUGCUGCCUCUAACGGCUGCACCUUCUAGAGCUCCCAGAUUUCUACUUGCCAGAGCAAUGUCAUCAAAGUCCUCUCUCUUCUGGUGGCGGGUAGGGUCGGAAACAAGCAUGUCUUCUCCUGCUGAUGCUAAGCAAGUAGCUAACUAUCUCUACAACAACUUCUUAGAUGGACAAUCAGCUUCUCGACCUUUCGGGUCUGUCAUUUUAGAUGGCGUAGACUUUGACAUGUCCGAUUUCGAGAGAAAAGGCAUUCGUCUUUACUAUGAUGAUCUAGCACGGGACCUCUCGGGUUUCAGCACACAACAGAGAAAAGUCUACUUGUCAGCAGCACCACAAUGUCCUAUCCCUGACGCUAAACUAGACGCUGCAAUUCAAACUGGCCUUUUCGACUACGUCUGGAUACAAUUUUACAACAACCCACAGUGUCAUUACACAGGCACAGCUACUAAUCUUUUGGCAAGGUGGAGACAGUGGGCUGCCGCGACUCCAUCACGCAGUCAGAUCUUUCUUGGAUUACCAGCGGCGCGACUCCAUCACGCAGUCGGAUCUUUCUUGGAUUACCAGCGGUGCGACUCCAUCACGCAGUCAGAUCUUUCUUGGAUUACUAGCGACUACUGCAGCAGCACCUAGUGGUGGCUAUAUUUCACCGAGUGCAUUAACCUCUGAAGUUCUUCCAAGUAUCAAGACUACGCCAAGUUAUGGCGGUGUCAUGCUUUGGAAUAAGUUUUAUGAUACUGAGUUUUAGUUCAGC